Molecule: long non-coding RNA, 132 nt
Organism: Cyprinodon tularosa
Lineage: Eukaryota; Metazoa; Chordata; Actinopteri; Cyprinodontiformes; Cyprinodontidae
Exons: 2
Source: RefSeq, a predicted model, not a curated record
UCUUAGGACAAAAAAAACCCAUCUCAGGCUGAGAAGUAAGUUAAGAAACAUGCUUAGCCAUAUACCUGUGUUUUUGGGGUUUUUUCUGAUCUUCGGGCAUGCAUCCUUUGCUGAUGUCUUCCCGCUAGAAGG